GAUGAACGCCGGCGGCGUGCCUAAUACAUGCAAGUCGAGCGAAUGGAUUAAGAGCUUGCUCUUAUGAAGUUAGCGGCGGACGGGUGAGUAACACGUGGGUAACCUGCCCAUAAGACUGGGAUAACUCCGGGAAACCGGGGCUAAUACCGGAUAACAUUUUGAACCGCAUGGUUCGAAAUUGAAAGGCGGCUUCGGCUGUCACUUAUGGAUGGACCCGCGUCGCAUUAGCUAGUUGGUGAGGUAACGGCUCACCAAAGCAACGAUGCGUAGCCGGCCUGUGAGGGUGAGCGGCCACACUGGGACUGCGACACGGCCCAGACUCCUACGGGAGGCAGCAGUAGGGAAUCUUCCGCAAUGGACGAAAGUCUGACGGAGCAACGCCGCGUGAGUGAUGAAGGCUUUCGGGUCGUAAAACUCUGUUGUUAGGGAAGAACAAGUGCUAGUUGAAUAAGCUGGCACCUUGACGGUACCUAACCAGAAAGCCACGGCUAACUACGUGCCAGCAGCCGCGGUAA
This 515-nucleotide ribosomal RNA is filed under the name uncultured bacterium. RNAcentral's name for it is "partial 16S ribosomal RNA". It matches the Rfam family "Bacterial small subunit ribosomal RNA", at positions 28 to 523 of the family's 1533-position model. The record is from RNAcentral.